AUGAAACUGACACCUCUAUCUGAAUUCAGUGGCCACCUCCACAGAGAAAAGCACAGAGCCUGGGAAGAUACAUACACAUCUAAGGAGAGAGAGCUCAUCCUGGGCAGCCUCAGCAAAGCCUUCUCUGCUCUUCAGGACCUUCACAGCUACAUUCUUCUUCUUCCUACAAAAGGAACCACAGCUCUACAUCAUGCAGAACACGCUGACUUGCUGCAGGCUUGGACCAGGUCAGAGAACUUCCGCCCAAAAAUGGACUGGUCCCUGUUAGCUACAGUAGGGAGCAGUGAUGCUUCACCUUGCCUGCUUAGAAGGGUGCAAGGAGCCGCCCCACCACUUGCUAUGCACCCCAGUGCCUGGACCUGUGGAGUUGGAGUAUUUAGCACAGUGAUACGUGCCUUCAUCUUCAUCCAGCACAGACGUGUACAAAGCAGACCCCAAACCUGCCAUUCAAGAACAUCAUCUUUCUGA
RNAcentral lists this long non-coding RNA (468 nucleotides) under Chrysolophus pictus (golden pheasant). RNAcentral describes it as "lncRNA (ENSCPIG00010006182.1)". The record is from RNAcentral. Lineage: Eukaryota; Metazoa; Chordata; Aves; Galliformes; Phasianidae.